CUUCUUCUUCUUGCGUCUGUACACUUUGGUGUCCCCACCACAUUGUGCCCUUGAACAAUCUCCAAAGGCGUUUUACUGUGUUAAUAGCCAAACCAAAACCACUAUCACAGCCACCUAACUUGACGGAUGGAGUAAGAACUGGUGCUCACUUUAUGUUCAGUUGUUGGCUACUACAACAUUGAGAGUGGUGCUUUUCCUACUAUAGGAAGCAGAAGCAGAAGUAUGCGAUGUAGCAAUUAUUUCUUUCCUGGAAUCUGUAUAACAGGAUGAAAUAUUAUGGAGGUUACUGAGGGAUUGAAAGUGGGUGAAUGUAGAUGAAUUGUAUGUGAGGUACUUGGCAAGCUGUUUGUAGUGUGAAGAUAGAGCAAUAAGAGCACUCUAUUCGGAAGAUGUUCACAAAUUGGAGUUUGAUGCUAUUAUGGAGAGUAGAGAGGGUGCCUGUCUCUUAUCUGAGGAUGCAACUCGAGGCCAGUUAUAGAUGCUCUUUAUUUUGGAUGCAAUUGAUUAAAGAUUCAUAGAGUGCAUGUGUCAUGGAAGUGCAUCAGAGUGGAAAGUGCCAACCACCUUCAUCUACGGCGUUCAUGAUUGGAUGAAUUACCAAGGGGCUCAGGAAGCUCGUAAGCAUAUGAAGGUCCCAUGUGAAAUCAUAAGGGUUCCCGAGGCUGGUCACUUUGUAUUCAUAGACAACUUGGCAGGUUUCCACUCCGCUGUCUUUUACGCAUGUCGCAGAUUUAUUUCCCCAUCCGCCACUGAUUAUCAAUCUCUUCCUCCAGACCUUAUUUCUGCUUAAGAGUAUGUAUCUAUUAUUAUUUUGUGUGUAUUUGCCCCCUUUUUUUCUUUUUUAAAUUAAUCUUUCGUUUCUUCUCGAAGUUAAAAAACAAUUUAAAAGAUACAAAAUCAACGGUCAUCUUCUUCGGAUUUGUAAUAGAAAAAUAAAAAAAAUGAAGGUUCCGUCAUCAA
This is an RNA transcript of Macadamia integrifolia, 960 nucleotides long. It is a transcript of the gene named probable 1-acylglycerol-3-phosphate O-acyltransferase, with no coding region annotated. Lineage: Eukaryota; Viridiplantae; Streptophyta; Magnoliopsida; Proteales; Proteaceae. The record is from RefSeq and is a predicted model, not a curated record. The transcript is spliced from 4 exons.